This 71-nucleotide transfer RNA is filed under the name Loxodonta africana (African savanna elephant). It matches the Rfam family "tRNA". From Rfam's summary of the family: Transfer RNA (tRNA) molecules are approximately 80 nucleotides in length. The record is from Rfam by way of RNAcentral. Lineage: Eukaryota; Metazoa; Chordata; Mammalia; Proboscidea; Elephantidae.
ACAGUGGUGGUUCAGUGGUAGAGUUCUCACCUUCCAUGUGAGAGACCCAGGUUCGGUUCCUGUCCAUUGCA